Molecule: unclassified non-coding RNA, 349 nt
Filed under: uncultured fungus
Lineage: Eukaryota; Fungi
Description: sequence contains ITS1
Rfam family: 5.8S ribosomal RNA (bases 1-102)
Source: RNAcentral
AAAUCGCGAUAUGUAGUGUGAUCUGCCCAUAGUGAAUCAUCAAAUUUUUGAACGCAUCUUGCACCCUUGGGUAUUCCUGAGGGUACGCCUGUUUCAGUAUCAUUUUAACUUCUCUGUCAAAAAUUUAUUUUUUUGGCUUGGAAAAAUUACGCUUGGCCCUUGAGUUUUGGGGAGAAAAAAUUUAUUUAUUUUCCCCUAGCUUCACGGCUUAAAUACGCUCGGUCAGAUUUGACUGGUAUUUUACCUUUUGGUAGAUUUAUCUGCUUUUAAAGUAACCCUAACCAGCCAUUUUUACCAACCACAUUAAAAACUUGAUCUGAAAUCAGGCGGGAUUACCCGCUGAACUUAA